CAGUAGUGCUGACACAGGGAAAAUAAAAGCCGUUUCAGGUGCUGAAGAAAUAAAUGUGCAAGGAAUUAAAGAAGAUGAGACAAAAAUGCAAGGAAGAUGAAGAUCCAGGUAUUGUCAUGUGGAAAUUUCUGGAGCCAAUAAUGUGGAUCCUGGACUACCAUUCUCGUUAAGCACAUGCAGUGGUUCCUUUUCAGGAUGCAGAAUGCUAUACAAGUGUCUACACAGAUCAGAAAAGUUGAGUGAGUGGGAAAGAUAUAUCUAGUUGUUUGAAGUCAAG
Molecule: long non-coding RNA, 277 nt
Filed under: Gallus gallus (chicken)
Lineage: Eukaryota; Metazoa; Chordata; Aves; Galliformes; Phasianidae
Source: RNAcentral